Long non-coding RNA from Oncorhynchus nerka (sockeye salmon), 591 nucleotides. RefSeq lists it as uncharacterized. The transcript has 2 exons. Lineage: Eukaryota; Metazoa; Chordata; Actinopteri; Salmoniformes; Salmonidae. The record is from RefSeq and is a predicted model, not a curated record.
GUAAACAUGCGUGGGGUGUCCAACCUCACCCAGGUUCUGGACAACUGGAGGUUUGACAUCCUCACUGAGAUGAAGACACUGCUCCAGAACGACCACCAGUCACUACUGCCAGACUACGCCAGGAUCCAGCCCCUGUCUGAGGCUCUGAAUGACCUUUACAAGGAGUUCAACUUCUCAAGGCUCACCUUGGUGAUCUCACAGAAAAAUUCGCCGCCAUAGAAACCUUCAUCGACGAGGUCAAGACUGAGCGGGCCAAUGGUGGCACCUUGGCCCCCGCCUCCAACCCAAACCCCGCCUCCAACCCAGUGCCAGCUAGGAGGAGAGUGGUCAAAAGAAAGCUCCCGCCUCUUAAAUGACCAAAACUCCACCCCAUCCCAUUGACCCCACCCAACUCAUCCUACUCACCCCAACCUACUAUGCUCUACCCUACCCUACCCCAUCCCAUCCCACUGACCCCAUCCCACUGACCCCAUCCCAUCUCACUGACCCCAUCCUACUGACCCCAUCCCAUCCCGCUGACCCCAUCCCACUGACCCUAUCCCUCUGACCCCAUCCCACUGACCCCAUCCCAUCCCACUGACCCCAUCCCAC